This 207-nucleotide non-coding RNA is filed under the name Ovis aries (sheep). RNAcentral describes it as "Bacterial large subunit ribosomal RNA". It matches the Rfam family "Bacterial large subunit ribosomal RNA", at positions 2411 to 2635 of the family's 2925-position model. Lineage: Eukaryota; Metazoa; Chordata; Mammalia; Artiodactyla; Bovidae. The record is from Rfam by way of RNAcentral.
CUUAUUGAUCCAAAAACUUGAUCAACGGAACAAGUUACCCUAGGGAUAACAGCGCAAUCCUAUUCAAGAGUCCAUAUCGACAAUAGGGUUUACGACCUCGAUGUUGGAUCAGGACACCCCGAUGGUGCAACCGCUAUCAAAGGUUCGUUUGUUCAACGAUUAAAGUCCUACGUGAUCUGAGUUCAGACCGGAGUAAUCCAGGUCGGU